Molecule: ribosomal RNA, 481 nt
Filed under: uncultured bacterium
Lineage: Bacteria
Description: partial 16S ribosomal RNA
Rfam family: Bacterial small subunit ribosomal RNA
Source: RNAcentral
GACGAACGCUGGCGGCGUGCUUAACACAUGCAAGUCGAACGGGAUCCGGGCUUUCGGGUUUGGUGAGAGUGGCGAACGGGUGAGUAACACGUGAGUAACCUGCCCCCUUCUUUGGGAUAACGUCGGGAAAUCGGCGCUAAUACUGGAUAUUCUUGCUGCAUCGCAUGGUGUGGUUUGGAAAGGGUUUCUGGUGGGGGAUGGGCUCGCGGCCUAUCAGCUUGUUGGUGGGGUGAUGGCCUACCAAGGCUUUGACGGGUCGCCGGCGUGAGAGGGUGUCCGGCCUCACUGGGACUGAGACACGGCCCUGACUCCUACGGGAGGCAGCAGUGGGGAAUAUUGCACGCUGUGCGCAAGCCUGAUGCAGCGACGCCGCGUGAGGGAUGACGGCCUUCGGGUUGUAAACCUCUUUCAGUAUGGAACAAGGAUCCUUCUUUUGGGGGGUUUGAGGGUACGUGCAGAAGAAGCGCCGGCUAACUACGUG